ACCCUUUUUAACUCUCCCCCAAAAAACACCACUAUUAAUAUUUAUAUAUCACGUGCCUUAUCACAUGACCCUCUGAAGAUAUUGCACUGUUCCAACAAAUCUGAGAGUCAGUUCCAAGUUCCAACAUGUAACACGCACAGAGCACAGUCAACAUUGAGCACAUGAUCCCACUGUCCUCAGAUCCCUAUUUUAUACUUAGAUUUUUACAACUUUUGAUUUAGGAAGACUCCCUAUAUAAUAUCUUUAAUCAUAGGCUUGAAAGCCAUCUUCCCUCACCAAUAAGGCAAAGAAUCAAACACUCUCAGUUUGAACAAGCAGGGAUACCAGAAGCAACCAUGAAGGCUUGGUCUAGAGCACUGGCAGCUCUCACUAUGGCCCUUUCACUCAUACUAUCAUUCUUGCCUAAUGGGUACCAAGCAAAUGCUCGUCCACUAACACAACCACCUUCCUUCUCAGUAUCAUCUUCUCAAGCUCUUAAAGACUUGCAAGGGAAAAGAAAGAUUCCUGAUAAGCAGCUGGACUCGAGCUUUCGAAAGAUACCUCCAUCUACUUCAAAUCCCACACAGAAUAAGUCCACUCCUCCAUCUGACGGCAGCUGAAGUACAGAACAAGGAAUACUAGAUCCUCAACAAUAUUAAGUUUUCUUUUUCAUUUGUUAGAAGUAGGGCGGUAGUGUUUUACUCGGACUACAACAGUGUUUGUGAAUUGCACUCUGUAAUGCAUUCACAUUUUUUUUAGCUAACACAGGCUGUUCAGUUUUGGUGUUGAAUGAAUAUUUAUAGUUAUUGGAUGUUCAA
This is a long non-coding RNA of Quercus robur (English oak), 797 nucleotides long. RefSeq lists it as uncharacterized. NCBI's taxonomy places the organism in Eukaryota, Viridiplantae, Streptophyta, Magnoliopsida, Fagales, Fagaceae. The transcript has 2 exons. The record is from RefSeq and is a predicted model, not a curated record.